CCGAGCUCCCUAGGUUAAUCAAUAAAAGACCAAAAAAAAUUUCAGCUGUUCUCUCUAAGUUUCUCUUGGCAUUUCUUCACCUUGGAAGGCAACCAAAGGCUACUUUUUGAGUUAUUGAAUUAGAACUACACCUUGGGAGUUAAGAUAAAUAGUUGGAAGAAAAGAAGUCAUUUCGACGUAAAAACAAGUUGAUAUGUCGAGGUAUGUAAGGCUAUUCGAUCUCUUAUUAUUUGGCAUGGAAUCCAAAGUCUUCAUUGGCACAUAGAGAUCUUUACAAACUUUGACAUAACCACUCCACUCUUUAACAUGUACUUGUGUGUCCAGAUUCGAGCAUUGUCACUGCUGCAUACAUACAUUGGGUACCAUGACAUAUGAGUCUUCUUUUUAGCUAAAUAAAGUUCAUACGUUGUUUAUGUCCUACAUGUUUCACUAAUUGUACAACCCACUCUUUUCAUUAUGACAUGAUGUUACAUGGACACAUACUUGUCAUUUGUCAUGCUUAUAGUCUUAUAGCUCAAAUGUUACGACCACCAAAGAUUCAUCUCAAAAGUAAUAAGAAGAUUUAUGUCUACAGUUGCUUCUGUUGGGUGGUAUCCCAGGGGUGAAAGAAUCACCUAGCAUGGGUCAAUCCCAGUAUUACAGGGGGUAUCCCAGGGGUGAAAGAAAAGCCUAGCAUGGGUCGAUCCUGAUAUAGAAUUACCACUGAUCAGCUGGUCAUUUGUAUUACAUGCUGUGCACAGAUUAUUCAAGUAAUAAGAGUAAAGUAACAUAAUUGUUAUAAGAUACAUGACUCCACAAUAUUCAUAAAGGUGGUCUUUUACCCUACAGCAGUACAUGGUUUCAUUUGAGUUUUUAUCUCAUAUAUAGUACAUGUUGCCUUACAUAUUCAGUACAUUAUUUCGUACUGACGUCCCUCUUGGGGGACCUGCAUUCCAUGCUGCAGGUACAGAAGCUAAUAAACCUCCCUAGUAAGAGUACAGGAUAUUAACUGCAGUCACUGAGGUCCAGGUUGCUUCGGGGCUUUGAGUCUUAUCAUAUCUUUUUUUGCAUUGUAUAGUAUCUUAUCAUGAGGCGGGGCCUGUCCCGACCCUUAUAAGAUAAUGUUUCUUGUCUAGAGGCCUUGUAGACUACGUAAGGUAUAGUAUGGUCAUGUAUCGUACCGUAGACAUUGUGGCUCCAACGGCCUAGUCAUAUAAUAUCUUUUGGCUUGCUAGUCC
Long non-coding RNA from Capsicum annuum, 1217 nucleotides. RefSeq lists it as uncharacterized. The record is from RefSeq and is a predicted model, not a curated record. Lineage: Eukaryota; Viridiplantae; Streptophyta; Magnoliopsida; Solanales; Solanaceae. The transcript is spliced from 2 exons.